AUUGAACGCUGGCGGCAUGCCUUACACAUGCAAGUCGAACGGCAGCGGACCUUCGGGUGCCGGCGAGUGGCGAACGGGUGAGUAAUAUAUCGGAACGUACCUUUCAGUGGGGGAUAACGUAGCGAAAGUUACGCUAAUACCGCAUAUUCUGUGAGCAGGAAAGCAGGGGAUCGCAAGACCUUGCGCUGAUUGAGCGGCCGAUAUCAGAUUAGCUAGUUGGUGAGGUAAAGGCUCACCAAGGCGACGAUCUGUAGCGGGUCUGAGAGGAUGAUCCGCCACACUGGAACUGAGACACGGUCCAGACUCCUACGGGAGGCAGCAGUGGGGAAUUUUGGACAAUGGGCGCAAGCCUGACCCAGCCAUGCCGCGUGAGUGAAGAAGGCC
Molecule: ribosomal RNA, 384 nt
Filed under: uncultured bacterium
Lineage: Bacteria
Description: bacterial SSU rRNA
Rfam family: Bacterial small subunit ribosomal RNA
Source: RNAcentral